AUACGUAGGUCCCGAACGUUGCGCGAAAUUACUGGGCGUAAAGGGUCCGUAGGCGGUCUGGUAAGUGGAAGGUGAAAGCCUGGGGCUCAACUCCAGAAUUGCCUUCCAAACUGCCGGACUUGAGGCAGGGAGAGGUCGGCGGAAUUCCCGGUGUAGCGGUGAAAUGCGUAGAUAGCGGGAGGAACACCAGUGGCGAAGGCGGCCGACUGGAACUGUCCUGACGCUGAGGGACGAAAGCCAGGGGAGCGAACCGGAUUAGAAACCCUAGUAGUCC
Molecule: ribosomal RNA, 274 nt
Filed under: uncultured bacterium
Lineage: Bacteria
Description: partial 16S ribosomal RNA
Rfam family: Bacterial small subunit ribosomal RNA
Source: RNAcentral